RNAcentral lists this ribosomal RNA (465 nucleotides) under uncultured Klebsiella sp. Its description in RNAcentral is "bacterial SSU rRNA". It matches the Rfam family "Bacterial small subunit ribosomal RNA", at positions 338 to 795 of the family's 1533-position model. The record is from RNAcentral. Lineage: Bacteria; Pseudomonadati; Pseudomonadota; Gammaproteobacteria; Enterobacterales; Enterobacteriaceae.
CCUACGGGUGGCUGCAGUGGGGAAUAUUGCACAAUGGGCGCAAGCCUGAUGCAGCCAUGCCGCGUGUGUGAAGAAGGCCUUCGGGUUGUAAAGCACUUUCAGCGGGGAGGAAGGCGUUAAGGUUAAUAACCUUGGCGAUUGACGUUACCCGCAGAAGAAGCACCGGCUAACUCCGUGCCAGUAGCCGCGGUAAUACGGAGGGUGCAAGCGUUAAUCGGAAUUACUGGGCGUAAAGCGCACGCAGGCGGUCUGUCAAGUCGGAUGUGAAAUCCCCGGGCUCAACCUGGGAACUGCAUUCGAAACUGGCAGGCUAGAGUCUUGUAGAGGGGGGUAGAAUUCCAGGUGUAGCGGUGAAAUGCGUAGAGAUCUGGAGGAAUACCGGUGGCGAAGGCGGCCCCCUGGACAAAGACUGACGCUCAGGUGCGAAAGCGUGGGGAGCAAACAGGAUUAGAUACCCGGGUAGUC